CUACGGGCCGCACCAGUAAGGAAUAUUGCGCAAUGGAGGCAACUCUGACGCAGCCAUGCCGCGUGCAGGAAGAAGGCCUUAUGGGUCGUAAACUGCUUUUAUUUAGGAAUAAACCCCCGAACGUGUUCGGGGCUGAAGGUACUAAACGAAUAAGCACCGGCUAACUCCGUGCCAGCAGCCGCGGUAAUACGGAGGGUGCAAGCGUUAUCCGGAUUUAUUGGGUUUAAAGGGUGCGCAGGCGGGCUAUUAAGUCAGUGGUGAAAUCCCGGGGCUCAACUCCGGAACUGCCAUUGAUACUGAUAGUCUUGAGUUUGGUUGAAGUGGGCGGAAUGUAGCAUGUAGCGGUGAAAUGCAUAGAUAUGCUACAGAACACCAAUCGCGAAGGCAGCUCACUAAGCCAAGACUGACGCUCAUGCACGAAAGCGUGGGGAUCAAACAGGAUUAGAUACCCGCGUAGUC
Molecule: ribosomal RNA, 459 nt
Filed under: uncultured bacterium
Lineage: Bacteria
Description: partial 16S ribosomal RNA
Rfam family: Bacterial small subunit ribosomal RNA
Source: RNAcentral